AGAGUUUGAUCAUGGCUCAGGAUGAACGCUAGCGGCAGGCUUAAUACAUGCAAGUCGAGGGGCAGCAUUACUACUUGUAGUAGAUGGCGACCGGCGCACGGGUGCGUAAUGCGUAUGAAACCUACCUAAUACAGGGGGAUAGCCCAGAGAAAUUUGGAUUAAUACCCCAUGGUACUGUGAUCUCGCAUGGGAUUAUAGUUAAAGAUUUAUCGGUAUUGGAUGGUCAUGCGUUCUAUUAGUUAGUUGGUAAGGUAACGGCUUACCAUCAGGCAAGCGCGAAUUAGAUAGAGGCCCUGAGAGAGGGAUCCCCCACACCUGGUAACUGAAACACCGAACCAGACUCCUACGGGAGGCAGCAGUGAGGAAUAUUGGACAAUGGAGGCAACUCUGAUCAAGCCAUGCCGCGUGAAGGAAGACUGCCCUAUUGGGUUGUAAACUUCUUUUAUAGAGGAAGAAACGAUGAUACGUGUAUCAUUUUGACGGUACUCUACGAAUAAGGAUCGGCUAACUCCGUGCCAGCAGCCGCGGUAAUACGGAGGAUCCAAGCGUUAUCCGGAAUCAUUGGGUUUAAAGGGUCCGCAGGCUGUUGUUUAAGUCAGAGGUGAAAGUUUGCAGCUCAACUGUAAAAUUGCCUUUGAUACUGGAUAACUUUGAGUUAUAAUGAAGUGGUUAGAAUAUGUAGUGUAGCGGUGAAAUGCAUAGAUAUGACUUAGAACACCGAUUGCGAAGGCAGAUCACUAAUUAUAAACUGACGCUGAGGGACGAAAGCGUGGGGAGCGAACAGGAUUAGAUACCCUGGUAGUCCACGCUGUAAACGAUGGUCACUAGCUGUUUGGACUUCGGUCUGAGUGGCUAAGCGAAAGUGAUAAGUGACCCACCUGGGGGAGUACGAUCGCAAGAUUGAAACUCAAAGGAAUUGACGGGGGCCCGCACAAGCCGGUGGAGCAUGGGGUUUAAAUUCGAUGAUACGCGAGAAACCUUACCAGGGCUUAAAUGGUGGAUUGACAGGGGCAGAGACGCCUUUUUCUUCGGACAACUCACAAGGUUGCUGCAUGGUUGUCGUCAGCUCGUGCCGUGAGAGGUGUUCAGGUUAAGUCCUAUAACGAGCGCAAACCCUGUUGUUAGUUACCAGCAAAUGAUGGUGGGGACUCUAACAAGAACUGUGCCGGUGCAAACCGUGAGGAAGGUGGGGAUGAACCUCAAAUACAUCACGGCCCUAACGUCCUGGGCUACACACUUGUGCUACAAGUGGUGAUGGUAGCACGCAGAGCAGCCACGCUCACGCAAGUAGGAGCGUAAUCUACAAAACCUAUCUCAGUUCGGAUCGGAGUCUACAACUCGACUCCGUGAAGCUGGAAUCGCUAGUAAUCGGAUAUCAGCCAUGAUCCGGUGAAUACGUUCCUGGGCCUUGUACACACCGCCCGUCAAGCCAUGGAAGCUGGGGGUACCUGAAGUCGGUGACCGUAAGGAGCUGCCUAGGGUAAAACUAGUAACUGGGGCUAAGUCGUAACAAGGUAACC
RNAcentral lists this ribosomal RNA (1520 nucleotides) under uncultured Kordia sp. Its description in RNAcentral is "bacterial SSU rRNA". It matches the Rfam family "Bacterial small subunit ribosomal RNA". Lineage: Bacteria; Pseudomonadati; Bacteroidota; Flavobacteriia; Flavobacteriales; Flavobacteriaceae. The record is from RNAcentral.